This 503-nucleotide ribosomal RNA is filed under the name uncultured bacterium. RNAcentral's name for it is "partial 16S ribosomal RNA". It matches the Rfam family "Bacterial small subunit ribosomal RNA", at positions 30 to 523 of the family's 1533-position model. The record is from RNAcentral.
AUUGAACGCUGGCGGCAGGCUUAACACAUGCAAGUCGAGCGGGGUGAUGGUGCUUGCACUAUCACUUAGCGGCGAACGGGUGAGUAAUGCUUAGGAAUCUGCCUAUUAGUGGGGGACAACAUCUCGAAAGGGAUGCUAAUACCGCAUACGUCCUACGGGAGAAAGCAGGGGAUCACUUGUGACCUUGCGCUAAUAGAUGAGCCUAAGUCGGAUUAGCUAGUUGGUGGGGUAAAGGCCUACCAAGGCGACGAUCUGUAGCGGGUCUGAGAGGAUGAUCCGCCACACUGGGACUGAGACACGGCCCAGACUCCGACGGGAGGCAGCAGUGGGGAAUAUUGGACAAUGGGGGGAACCCUGAUCCAGCCAUGCCGCGUGUGUGAAGAAGGCCUUAUGGUUGUAAAGCACUUUAAGCGAGGAGGAGGCUCUUUUGGUUAAUACCCAAGACGAGUGGACGUUACUCGCAGAAUAAGCACUGGCUAACUCUGUGCCAGCAGCCGCGGUAA